This 2790-nucleotide ribosomal RNA is filed under the name Escherichia coli DEC13D. RNAcentral's name for it is "bacterial LSU rRNA". It matches the Rfam family "Bacterial large subunit ribosomal RNA". Lineage: Bacteria; Pseudomonadati; Pseudomonadota; Gammaproteobacteria; Enterobacterales; Enterobacteriaceae. The record is from RNAcentral.
AGCGUACACGGUGGAUGCCCUGGCAGUCAGAGGCGAUGAAGGACGUGCUAAUCUGCGAUAAGCGUCGGUAAGGUGAUAUGAACCGUUAUAACCGGCGAUUUCCGAAUGGGGAAACCCAGUGUGAUUCGUCACACUAUCAUUAACUGAAUCCAUAGGUUAAUGAGGCGAACCGGGGGAACUGAAACAUCUAAGUACCCCGAGGAAAAGAAAUCAACCGAGAUUCCCCCAGUAGCGGCGAGCGAACGGGGAGCAGCCCAGAGCCUGAAUCAGUGUGUGUGGUUAGUGGAAGCGUCUGGAAAGGCGCGCGAUACAGGGUGACAGCCCCGUACACAAAAAUGCACAUACUGUGAGCUCGAUGAGUAGGGCGGGACACGUGGUAUCCUGUCUGAAUAUGGGGGGACCAUCCUCCAAGGCUAAAUACUCCUGACUGACCGAUAGUGAACCAGUACCGUGAGGGAAAGGCGAAAAGAACCCCGGCGAGGGGAGUGAAAAAGAACCUGAAACCGUGUACGUACAAGCAGUGGGAGCACAGAGCAAUCUGUGUGACUGCGUACCUUUUGUAUAAUGGGUCAGCGACUUAUAUUCUGUAGCAAGGUUAACCGAAUAGGGGAGCCGAAGGGAAACCGAGUCUUAACUGGGCGUUAAGUUGCAGGGUAUAGACCCGAAACCCGGUGAUCUAGCCAUGGGCAGGUUGAAGGUUGGGUAACACUAACUGGAGGACCGAACCGACUAAUGUUGAAAAAUUAGCGGAUGACUUGUGGCUGGGGGUGAAAGGCCAAUCAAACCGGGAGAUAGCUGGUUCUCCCCGAAAGCUAUUUAGGUAGCGCCUCGUGAAUUCAUACUCCGGGGGUAGAGCACUGUUUCGGCAAGGGGGUCAUCCCGACUUACAACCCGAUGCAAACUGCGAAUACCGGAGAAUGUUAUCACGGGAGACACACGGCGGGUGCUAACGUCCGUCGUGAAGAGGGAAACAACCCAGACCGCCAGCUAAGGUCCCAAAGUCAUGGUUAAGUGGGAAACGAUGUGGGAAGGCCCAGACAGCCAGGAUGUUGGCUUAGAAGCAGCCAUCAUUUAAAGAAAGCGUAAUAGCUCACUGGUCGAGUCGGCCUGCGCGGAAGAUGUAACGGGGCUAAACCAUGCACCGAAGCUGCGGCAGCGACGCUUAUGCGUUGUUGGGUAGGGGAGCGUUCAGUAAGCCUGCGAAGGUGUGCUGUGAGGCAUGCUGGAGGUAUCAGAAGUGCGAAUGCUGACAUAAGUAACGAUAAAGCGGGUGAAAAGCCCGCUCGCCGGAAGACCAAGGGUUCCUGUCCAACGUUAAUCGGGGCAGGGUGAGUCGACCCCUAAGGCGAGGCCGAAAGGCGUAGUCGAUGGGAAACAGGUUAAUAUUCCUGUACUUGGUGUUACUGCGAAGGGGGGACGGAGAAGGCUAUGUUGGCCGGGCGACGGUUGUCCCGGUUUAAGCGUGUAGGCUGGUUUUCCAGGCAAAUCCGGAAAAUCAAGGCUGAGGCGUGAUGACGAGGCACUACGGUGCUGAAGCAACAAAUGCCCUGCUUCCAGGAAAAGCCUCUAAGCAUCAGGUAACAUCAAAUCGUACCCCAAACCGACACAGGUGGUCAGGUAGAGAAUACCAAGGCGCUUGAGAGAACUCGGGUGAAGGAACUAGGCAAAAUGGUGCCGUAACUUCGGGAGAAGGCACGCUGAUAUGUAGGUGAAGUCCCUCGCGGAUGGAGCUGAAAUCAGUCGAAGAUACCAGCUGGCUGCAACUGUUUAUUAAAAACACAGCACUGUGCAAACACGAAAGUGGACGUAUACGGUGUGACGCCUGCCCGGUGCCGGAAGGUUAAUUGAUGGGGUUAGCGCAAGCGAAGCUCUUGAUCGAAGCCCCGGUAAACGGCGGCCGUAACUAUAACGGUCCUAAGGUAGCGAAAUUCCUUGUCGGGUAAGUUCCGACCUGCACGAAUGGCGUAAUGAUGGCCAGGCUGUCUCCACCCGAGACUCAGUGAAAUUGAACUCGCUGUGAAGAUGCAGUGUACCCGCGGCAAGACGGAAAGACCCCGUGAACCUUUACUAUAGCUUGACACUGAACAUUGAGCCUUGAUGUGUAGGAUAGGUGGGAGGCUUUGAAGUGUGGACGCCAGUCUGCAUGGAGCCGACCUUGAAAUACCACCCUUUAAUGUUUGAUGUUCUAACGUGGACCCGUAAUCCGGGUUGCGGACAGUGUCUGGUGGGUAGUUUGACUGGGGCGGUCUCCUCCUAAAGAGUAACGGAGGAGCACGAAGGUUGGCUAAUCCUGGUCGGACAUCAGGAGGUUAGUGCAAUGGCAUAAGCCAGCUUGACUGCGAGCGUGACGGCGCGAGCAGGUGCGAAAGCAGGUCAUAGUGAUCCGGUGGUUCUGAAUGGAAGGGCCAUCGCUCAACGGAUAAAAGGUACUCCGGGGAUAACAGGCUGAUACCGCCCAAGAGUUCAUAUCGACGGCGGUGUUUGGCACCUCGAUGUCGGCUCAUCACAUCCUGGGGCUGAAGUAGGUCCCAAGGGUAUGGCUGUUCGCCAUUUAAAGUGGUACGCGAGCUGGGUUUAGAACGUCGUGAGACAGUUCGGUCCCUAUCUGCCGUGGGCGCUGGAGAACUGAGGGGGGCUGCUCCUAGUACGAGAGGACCGGAGUGGACGCAUCACUGGUGUUCGGGUUGUCAUGCCAAUGGCACUGCCCGGUAGCUAAAUGCGGAAGAGAUAAGUGCUGAAAGCAUCUAAGCACGAAACUUGCCCCGAGAUGAGUUCUCCCUGACUCCUUGA